UACGUAGGGGGCUAGCGUUGUCCGGAUUUAUUGGGCGUAAAGAGCGUGUAGGCGGCCAGAUAGGUCCUCUGUGAAAACUCGAGGCUUAACCUCGAGAUGUCGGUGGAAACCAUUUGGCUAGAGUCCGGAAGAGGAGAGUGGAAUUCCUGGUGUAGCGGUGAAAUGCGCAGAUAUCAGGAAGAACACCCGUGGCGAAGGCGGCUCUCUGGGACGGUACUGACGCUGAGACGCGAAAGCGUGGGGAGCGAACAGG
This 253-nucleotide ribosomal RNA is filed under the name uncultured bacterium. RNAcentral's name for it is "partial 16S ribosomal RNA". It matches the Rfam family "Bacterial small subunit ribosomal RNA", at positions 524 to 776 of the family's 1533-position model. The record is from RNAcentral.